GAUGAACGCUGGCGGCGUGCCUAAUACAUGCAAGUCGAGCGAACAGAUGAGGAGCUUGCUCCUCUGACGUUAGCGGCGGACGGGUGAGUAACACGUGGAUAACCUACCUAUAAGACUGGGAUAACUUCGGGAAACCGGAGCUAAUACCGGAUAAUAUAUUGAACCGCAUGGUUCAAUAGUGAAAGACGGUUUUGCUGUCACUUAUAGAUGGAUCCGCGCCGCAUUAGCUAGUUGGUAAGGUAGCGGCUUACCAAGGCAACGAUGCGUAGCCGACCUGAGAGGGUGAUCGGCCACACUGGAACUGAGACACGGUCCAGACUCCUACGGGAGGCAGCAGUAGGGAAUCUUACGCAAUGGGCGAAAGCCUGACGGAGCAACGCCGCGUGAGUGAUGAAGGUCUUCGGAUCGUAAAACUCUGUUAUUAGGGAAGAACAAAUGUGUAAGUAACUAUGCACGUCUUGACGGUACCUAAUCAGAAAGCCACGGCUAACUACGUG
Molecule: ribosomal RNA, 497 nt
Filed under: uncultured bacterium
Lineage: Bacteria
Description: partial 16S ribosomal RNA
Rfam family: Bacterial small subunit ribosomal RNA
Source: RNAcentral